AGCAGCCGCGGUAAUUCCAGCUCCAAUAGCGUAUAUUAAAGUUGUUGCAGUUAAAAAGCUCGUAGUUGAAUUUCGGAAUCUGUCCAUCGGUCGGGCUUCACUGUCCGUACUGGUGUGGUGGGUUCUUACCUUCUGAAUAACCAGCAUGCCAUUCACUUGGUGCGCUGGGGAAGCAGGACUAUUACCUUGAAAAAUUAGAGUGCUCAAAGCAGGCUAGUGCCUGAAUACAUUAGCAUGGAAUAAUAAAAUAGGACGGCAUGGUUCUAUCUUGUUGGUUUCUAGGAUCACCGCAAUGAUUAAUAGGGAUAGUUGGGGGCAUUAGUAUUCAAUUGUCAGAGGUGAAAUUCUUGGAUUUAUUGAAGACUAACUUCUGCGAAAGCAUUUGCCAAGGAUGUUUUCAUUAAUCAAGAACGAAAGUUAGGGGAUCGAAGGCGAUCAGAUACCGUCGUAGUCUUAACCAUAAACCUAUGCCGACUAGGGAUCGGACGAUGUUAAUUUUUAAUGACUUCGG
This 511-nucleotide ribosomal RNA is filed under the name uncultured Acaulospora. Its description in RNAcentral is "SSU rRNA". It matches the Rfam family "Eukaryotic small subunit ribosomal RNA", at positions 569 to 1083 of the family's 1831-position model. Lineage: Eukaryota; Fungi; Glomeromycota; Glomeromycetes; Diversisporales; Acaulosporaceae. The record is from RNAcentral.